This 492-nucleotide ribosomal RNA is filed under the name uncultured bacterium. RNAcentral's name for it is "partial 16S ribosomal RNA". It matches the Rfam family "Bacterial small subunit ribosomal RNA", at positions 29 to 507 of the family's 1533-position model. The record is from RNAcentral.
AGUGAACGCUGGCGGUAGGCCUAACACAUGCAAGUCGAGCGGCAGCACAGUAAGAGCUUGCUCUUACGGGUGGCGAGUGGCGGACGGGUGAGGCAUACAUCGGAAUCUACUUUUUCGGGGGGGAUAACGUAGGGAAACUUACGCUAAUACCGCAUACGACCUACGGGUGGAAGCAGGGGAUCUUCGGACCUUGCGCGAUUGAAUUAGCCGAUGUCGGAUUAGCUAGUUGGCGGGGUAAAGGCCCACCAAGGCAACGAUCCGUAGCUGGUCUGAGAGGAUGAUCAGCCACACUGGAACUGAGACACGGUCCAGACUCCUACGGGAGGCAGCAGUGGGGAAUAUUCGACAAUGGGCGCAAGCCUGAUCCAGCCAUACCGCGUGGGUGAAGAAGGCCUUCGGGUUGUAAAGCCCUUUUGUUGGGAAAGAAAAGCAGCAGGUUAAUACCCCGCUGUUCUGACGGUACCCAAAGAAUAAGCCCCGGCUAACUUCGUG